GGGAAGGUGGCUCAGUGGUAGAGUGCUUGUCUUGCAUGCAUACGGCCCUGGGUUCGAUUCCUCAGCCCA
Dipodomys ordii (Ord's kangaroo rat) is the source of this 69-nucleotide non-coding RNA. The record is from Rfam. Lineage: Eukaryota; Metazoa; Chordata; Mammalia; Rodentia; Heteromyidae.